CCUACGGGAGGCAGCAGUGAGGAAUAUUGGUCAAUGGACGAGAGUCUGAACCAGCCAAGUAGCGUGAAGGAUGACUGCCCUAUGGGUUGUAAACUUCUUUUAUAAAGGAAUAAAACGAGGCACGUGUGCCUUUUUGCAUGUACUUUAUGAAUAAGGAUCGGCUAACUCCGUGCCAGCAGCCGCGGUAAUACGAAGGAUCCGAGCGUUAUCCGGAUUUAUUGGGUUUAAAGGGAGCGUAGAUGGGUUGUUAAGUCAGUUGUGAAAGUUUGCGGCUCAACCGUAAAAUUGCAAUUGAUACUGGCAGUCGUGAGUACAGUUGAGGUAGGCGGAAUUCGUGGUGUAGCGGUGAAAUGCUUAGAUAUCACGAAGAACCCCGAUUGCGAAGGCAGCUUACUAAACUGUGACUGACAUUGAUGCUCGAAAGUGUGGGUAUCAAACAGGAUUAGAUACCCGGGUAGUC
This 460-nucleotide ribosomal RNA is filed under the name uncultured bacterium. RNAcentral describes it as "partial 16S ribosomal RNA". It matches the Rfam family "Bacterial small subunit ribosomal RNA", at positions 338 to 795 of the family's 1533-position model. The record is from RNAcentral.